RNAcentral lists this small nucleolar RNA (86 nucleotides) under Corchorus capsularis. Its description in RNAcentral is "snoRNA snoZ159". It matches the Rfam family "Small nucleolar RNA Z159/U59". Rfam says of the family: This family consists of several snoRNA Z159 or U59 sequences which are members of the C/D class of snoRNA which contain the C (UGAUGA) and D (CUGA) box motifs. This family seems to be found exclusively in rice. Lineage: Eukaryota; Viridiplantae; Streptophyta; Magnoliopsida; Malvales; Malvaceae. The record is from Rfam by way of RNAcentral.
UACUCUGAUGAUGUUUAAAAUAAAAACUUUCGUUCUCCUGAGCUAGUAAAUGCUGAAAAAAUUAUGGAGACCUGAGCUGAAGAGUU